GAUGUGAUGGUCAAUGUUAGACUCUGCGUCUUAUAUGCUGGAGGUGAUGGUCAAUGUUAGACUCUGCGUCUUACAUGCUGGAGGUGAUGGUCAAUGUUAGACUCUGCGUCUUAUAUGCUGGAGGUGAUGGUCAAUGUUAGACUCUGCGUCUUAUAUGCUGGAGGUGAUGGUCAAUGUUAGACUCUGCGUCUUAUAUGCUGGAGGUGAUGGUCAAUGUUAGACUCUGCGUCUUAUAUGCUGGAGGUGAUGGUCAAUGUUAGACUCUGCGUCUUAUAUGCUGGAGGUGAUGGUCAAUGUUAGACUCUGCGUCUUUAUAGCUGGAGUGUAUGGUCAAUGUUAGACUCUGGGUUACACUUCAACAGUUGUUUACUAACGUUAUAAUACAACUGCUUGAAGACUGGUGGGAGGGAUGGAGGGGUAGAGAACAUCCUAGGAAAGACUGGAGGGAAGGAGGGAAGGAGGGAGGGGUAGAGAUCAUCCUAGAAACGACUGGAGGGAGGGAUGGAGGGGUAGAGAACAUCCUAGGAAAGACUGGAGGGAAGGAGGGAAGGAGGGAGGGGUAGAGAUCAUCCUAGAAACGACUGGAGGGAGGGAUGGAGGGGUAGAGAUAAUCCUAGGAACGACUGGAGGGAGGGAUGAACGGGUAGAGAUCAUCCAAGGAACAACUGCAGGGAGGGUUCGACAGGUAGAGAUCAUCCUAGGAACGACUUGAGGAAGGGAUGGAGGGGUAUAGAUCAUCAA
This is a non-coding RNA of Cherax quadricarinatus, 741 nucleotides long. The record is from RefSeq and is a predicted model, not a curated record. NCBI's taxonomy places the organism in Eukaryota, Metazoa, Arthropoda, Malacostraca, Decapoda, Parastacidae.